GGGGAUUUAGCUCAGCGGUAGAGUGCUUGCCUAGCAAGCACAAGGCCCUGGGUUCAGUCCCCA
Non-coding RNA from Rattus norvegicus (Norway rat), 63 nucleotides. The record is from Rfam. Lineage: Eukaryota; Metazoa; Chordata; Mammalia; Rodentia; Muridae.